GGCUCACUGGAGGCCAGAAGUCCAAGGUCAAGGCGUCAGCAGCCCUGCCCCCACAGGCGAGGCCCCGGGUCUGCUGACUCCGGCUGACUUCUCCUCUGGCACUUCCUUCCCAACUCCUGGCUGUGGAUCCUGACCCCCCCCCACUUGGACAAACAUCUUGCGGCCGUUUCCUCCUCGCCUGCCCGGAGCCCCUGCCUGGCCUGAACAAACACUCGGGACCUGCGCUUCCGGCCUCAGCUCUGGGAAAAGCCCGGCCAGGGGCCGCCGAGUGUCCCACCAGGCUGCCGCUCCGGUCCUGUUCCCGACGGAGCCUCCCGGUGUGUUGCUAUCAGAGAUUAGGAACCAGGCCCGGGGUGUGGCAGGAGUGGGCAGUCUUGACAACGCAAAUCGGCGAAGAUGGUGGACGGUGAGGAGCGAGCUCCCCGUCACUGGACGUGUGAGCAGAGCCAGGCGGAUAUGCAGGAGGCAUCCCCUGCCGACACUUCCCCCUCCUCACCUGCUCCCGGCAUCCUGGGGACCGGGGGCCAGCUAGCAGGAUCUGGGAGUGGAAACAAUGGAAUUAAUGUGUGUGAGGGUUUUGGUGUGUUUUUUUUUUCCUUUGGAGAAGUUUCUCCUCAUCUGCCGGGUUGGAUUCCCACCUCAACUUCCGGUCUUUGGAGGAGCCCGCAGGAGAGGAUGGGUGUGGGCGGGGCGGUCAGGAAGGGGAGAGCUGGGGGUGGGGGGCGGUGAGGAGGAAGGCAGGGCUCCUUCUGGCUCCUGGGUCUUUGCACCGGCUGUGCCCCGCCCCCAGCCCCUGCUGUAGCCCCUGUGCCUCCUCCAGGAAGCCCUCCCUGACCUCCCCCACCCAGGCUAAACAAACAGGAGUCAGCACCUUCCCGCUCUCAUUCAUCGGCACUUCAUCUUCCACUGCGGACUGGGCCUGUUGGUUCACAGCUCUCUCCUCUGCUCAGCACUCACGAGACACCAGCCGCGUAGGGCACAGAAAGGGGGGCCCGGUCCUACACUGCGGUCCUCACUGUCCACUCAGGGC
Non-coding RNA from Odocoileus virginianus texanus, 1030 nucleotides. The record is from RefSeq and is a predicted model, not a curated record. Lineage: Eukaryota; Metazoa; Chordata; Mammalia; Artiodactyla; Cervidae.